This 78-nucleotide transfer RNA is filed under the name Camelus bactrianus (Bactrian camel). It matches the Rfam family "tRNA". From Rfam's summary of the family: Transfer RNA (tRNA) molecules are approximately 80 nucleotides in length. Their secondary structure includes four short double-helical elements and three loops (D, anti-codon, and T loops). Further hydrogen bonds mediate the characteristic L-shaped molecular structure. tRNAs have two regions of fundamental functional importance: the anti-codon, which is responsible for specific mRNA codon recognition, and the 3' end, to which the tRNAs corresponding amino acid is attached (by aminoacyl-tRNA synthetases). tRNAs cope with the degeneracy of the genetic code in two manners: having more than one tRNA (with a specific anti-codon) for a particular amino acid; and 'wobble' base-pairing, i.e. permitting non-standard base-pairing at the 3rd anti-codon position. RNAcentral also lists the same sequence under 2 other names. The record is from Rfam by way of RNAcentral. Lineage: Eukaryota; Metazoa; Chordata; Mammalia; Artiodactyla; Camelidae.
GAGGGUAUGGCUCAGUGGCAGAGCAUGUGCUUAGUAUCCUUAGUAUGGAGGUCCUAGGUUCAAUUCCUAGUAACUCCA